This 406-nucleotide ribosomal RNA is filed under the name uncultured bacterium. RNAcentral's name for it is "partial 16S ribosomal RNA". It matches the Rfam family "Bacterial small subunit ribosomal RNA", at positions 28 to 526 of the family's 1533-position model. The record is from RNAcentral.
GAUGAACGCUAGCUACAGGCUUAACACAUGCAAGUCGAGGGACCGGCGCACGGGUGAGUAACACGUAUCCAACCUGCCCUUUACUCGGGGAUAGCCUUUCGAAAGAAAGAUUAAUACCCGAUGUCAAGGAUGGGGAUGCGUUCCUUUAGGUUGUUGGUGAGGUAACGGCUAACCAAUCCUUCGAUGGAAAGGGGUGCUGAGAGGAAGGUCCCCCACAUUGGAACUGAGACACGGUCCAAACUCUUACGGGAGGCAGCAGUGAGGAAUAUUGGUCAAUGGGCGUUAGCCUGAACCAGCCAAGUAGCGUGAAGGAUGAAGGCUUAUGGGUCGUAAACUUCUUUUAUAUAAGAAUAUGUAUUAUAUGAAUAAGGAUCGGCGAACUCCGUGCCAGCAGCCGCGGUAAUUC